CUGGGCUCUAGCGGGUUGGAGCGGCGGCAGUGGAGGGGACGCGCGGGCUGGCGAACUGACGGGCGGACGGCCCAUGUCGCCCCGCACCUGCUGAACUGGAGCACCCGAGGAUGUCUGCGCUGAGGAAGGCCUUCCCACCAUCCGAGGCCCGGCCGUAGCAGCCCGGUUUCCCAGCAGCUGCCCGUGAACACCCGGCCCGCACCGGCUCCGCCACCAUGGGGACUGCUCAGGUUUUGCCCGGCAUUCUGCAGAAGCAUUGCUGUAUAUUACCAGACAGGAACACAGGAAACCCAUUUCAACUGUUGCUUCAACUCAAACGUCAUUGCUGUUUGGGACUUUGACUUCUCGUCUGUUAAAGAAUUGUUUGGUGCCUUAUUUUGUGCGACUUACUUUCCAAACCCUUGAAUCUGACACGUGCAAUGAGGAGCAGAUGCGGCUGAAGCAGGUGUUACUGAAGACAGUCCUGGGCUCAGCAGCUGAGGCGGACACGCUUCCGGGGAGCUGGCCCCACCCACUCUCACCUCGUCGGCCAGCGGACAAGGUGGCUCGUACACAGCUCUCACACGUCUUGCUGUUUGGAGCUCAGACAUCUCUCUCCAUCAUGGUUUCCCAUCUUGAGAUAAUUGCACCAAGCUGAGAAGUGCCUGGACCAGAGCAGCUCCACUGCGAUAAUUCCACAAAGUCACUUACAGUAAGACAGUUUUCUUAAUUUGUCAUUGCAUUCAUCUCCAUAUCUGGAAACUGAAAAAAUUCGCAACAAUGGCAGAAGACCACAAGAAGUUCUGUUACUGUUUACAUAUUUA
Long non-coding RNA from Balaenoptera acutorostrata (minke whale), 803 nucleotides. RefSeq lists it as uncharacterized. The transcript has 6 exons. The record is from RefSeq and is a predicted model, not a curated record. Lineage: Eukaryota; Metazoa; Chordata; Mammalia; Artiodactyla; Balaenopteridae.